Mobula hypostoma (lesser devil ray) is the source of this 760-nucleotide long non-coding RNA. RefSeq lists it as uncharacterized. The transcript has 3 exons. Lineage: Eukaryota; Metazoa; Chordata; Chondrichthyes; Myliobatiformes; Myliobatidae. The record is from RefSeq and is a predicted model, not a curated record.
UGCAAGAUUUUUUUUUAGAAUUAAUUGCUUGUCUGAGUUGUUUUCCAUAGAUAAGACGGCAAGUGCCAGUUUUAAAAGGCCCUGCUGGAUUGUUCCACUGAAUACCAAAUAUCUUCAGGUGGUUCAACUUUCAGAGAUGUUGUCUGAUUAAAAGUUUCUGGUGAUCAGAAGAUUCCUCAACCAUUGUGGUAUCAAGUGGAAAUGAAAUGGGACUAAUCAAUUCUGAAGAUGCUGUUUAACCUGUUGUUGUUACAGCAGACAGCAGCACCUGCAGUCCUUUGUGUCUCGGCUAUUCUUCGGAACCAGGAAGGCUGAAUGGGGGCCUGACAGAGGUGAGGGCGAGCUGGCGUAGAAGAGGAGUUGAGGCCAGUAUGGAUCAGCCCUGACGAUAUUGAAUGGCAAGGCAAGUCUGAAGAGCUAGAUGGCCUACUGCUGCUCCUAUUUUUCAUGUUCUUCUUCUGUUCUUCUUGUAUUAUUUUUGUCACUGCAAAGACCAAUCAAUUGAAGCCUCAUCUUUCAACAAGUCUUCAUCUCUGCCUUUGAAAAGCCUAAUUAAUUGUUUGAUGAAUGGAAAACCUGGACAAGCCUACAGUGGCUUAUCCUCAACUUACUGUCACAGAUCCAAACCAUCAAAAAAACAAAGAGGAGAGCUGUGAAAAUUGGAGAAAACAAAACAAAGACUCAGAAUUCAAAUACUGCUGAAUACAUCAACGUAACUAAAUUGUUCUGACCUCAUCCACUGACUCCUAAUUACUUACCU